This 752-nucleotide ribosomal RNA is filed under the name uncultured archaeon. RNAcentral describes it as "bacterial SSU rRNA". It matches the Rfam family "Archaeal small subunit ribosomal RNA", at positions 102 to 859 of the family's 1478-position model. The record is from RNAcentral.
GGACAACCUGCCCUAAGGUGAGGGAUAACUCCGGGAAACUGGAGAUAAUACCUCAUAGUUUACCAUCGCUGGAAUGCCUGGUAAGCGAAAGGUCCGCCGCCUUAGGAUGGGUCUGCGGCCGAUUAGGUAGUUGUUGGGGUAACGGCCCAACAAGCCUGUAAUCGGUACGGGUUGUGGGAGCAAGAGCCCGGAGAUGGAUUCUGAGACACGAAUCCAGGCCCUACGGGGCGCAGCAGGCGCGAAAACUUUACAAUGCAGGCAACUGUGAUAAGGGAACCCCGAGUGCCCGUAUGGACGGGCUGUUCAGGUGCUUAAAAACCACCUGGAGAAAGGGCCGGGCAAGACCGGUGCCAGCCGCCGCGGUAAUACCGGCGGCUCGAGUGGUGGCCACUAUUACUGGGCUUAAAGCGUCCGUAGCUUGGUCGUUAAGCCUCUGGGGAAAUCUUCCGGCUCAACCGGAAGGCGUCUCAGGGGAACUGGCGACCUAGGGAUCGGGAGAGGUGAGAGGUACUCUGGGGGUAGGAGUGAAAUCCUGUAAUCCUCAGGGGACCACCUGUGGCGAAGGCGUCUCACCAGAACGACUCCGACAGUGAGGGACGAAAGCUGGGGGAGCAAACCGGAUUAGAUACCCGGGUAGUCCCAGCCGUAAACGAUGCGCGUUAGGUGUAUCGGUGACCACGAGUUACCGAGGUGCCGAAGGGGAACCGUGAAACGCGCCGCCUGGGAAGUACGGUCGCAAGGCUGAAACUUAA